UGGUAUAAAUACGAUAUGUUUAUCAUUUUCACAUGAUUUUUACAUAAUUACAAUGCUUUAAGGCUUAAAAUAAUUGUUUACAAAGCCGAGGAGUUUCUUUUUUUUUCCCUAGGACGGAUAUACAUUACUCUCCAAGCCUACAAGAUUGGAUGUUUUUAUGCGCUAUACGUAUGUGUUGUAUUUCAGUUGAGAGUUUUAGGUAAACUUGAUGGUGACAUUUUUUGCGAUAACCUGUGUGAUUGUUUUUAUUACGAACCGUUCCUUCAACAAUCCUUGAAACAAUUAUAGGUUGUCCUAUUAAUAUGUCCACUUACCUAACUAUUAACAAUUUUGUAUAAUCGUUUUAAGUUGUUUACUUUCCAGAAUACAUGUAAACUUGCUAAACUGAAAAACUAAAUAAACUUUUUUAACCGAGC
This is a non-coding RNA of Schizosaccharomyces pombe (fission yeast), 416 nucleotides long. The record is from the annotation of a GenBank genome assembly. Lineage: Eukaryota; Fungi; Ascomycota; Schizosaccharomycetes; Schizosaccharomycetales; Schizosaccharomycetaceae.